GACGAACGCUGGCGGCGUGCUUAACACAUGCAAGUCGAACGAUGAAGCGCUGUCUUUUUGGUGGUGUGGAUUAGUGGCGAACGGGUGAGUAAUACGCGGGCAACCUGCCCCUCUGCUUCGGGAUAAGCUUUGGAAACGGGGUCUAAUACCGGAUGUGCCUGUCUGGUCGCAUGGCUGGGCGGGGAAAGAUGUUUUUCGGCGGGGGAUGGGCUCGCGGCCUAUCAGCUUGUUGGUGGGGUGACGGCCUACCAAGGCGUCGACGGGUAGCCGGCCUGAGAGGGUGGUCGGCCACACUGGGACUGAGAUACGGCCCAGACUCCUACGGGAGGCAGCAGUGGGGGAUAUUGCACAAUGGGCGCAAGCCUGAUGCAGCGACGCCGCGUGGGGGAUGGAGGCUUUCGGGUUGUAAACCCCUUUCGGCGCGGGACAAGGCUCCGUU
Molecule: ribosomal RNA, 439 nt
Filed under: Actinomyces sp. oral taxon 446
Lineage: Bacteria; Bacillati; Actinomycetota; Actinomycetes; Actinomycetales; Actinomycetaceae
Description: bacterial SSU rRNA
Rfam family: Bacterial small subunit ribosomal RNA
Source: RNAcentral